Molecule: ribosomal RNA, 69 nt
Filed under: Listeria monocytogenes
Lineage: Bacteria; Bacillati; Bacillota; Bacilli; Caryophanales; Listeriaceae
Description: partial 16S ribosomal RNA
Rfam family: Bacterial small subunit ribosomal RNA
Source: RNAcentral
UUUUAAAGAGAGUUUGAUCCUGGCUCAGGACGAACGCUGGCGGCGUGCCUAAUACAUGCAAGUCGAACG